AGGGGAGAAAACAAGGGAAUAUUUCUUCGAACAUGCUUGUGCAGCAAUGUAAUGACCUGUCAUUACGGGUAAUUCCGGCCUUUCCCUAACAAUCCUCGUAAAGGGUCGCAUCGAUGAUUUUUUAAAAGCUUCUAGUUGAAUGUCUACCUUAGACCGUGUUAGAAAGAAAUUUUGGAAUUUUCUGAAUUCAUUUAACCGCCUCGGUGGUCUGGGAGCCGUCAUGGGGAUCUCGCUAUGGUGAGAGGCUGUCCGCCAUAGCGAACCCUAGAGAUUUUAAGUAAGUCCUCCACGGCAGGACUCUUGAGCGUCAUAGCGCUUCCACCAUGGCAAUCAUCCUUUCGCCACGACGGAAUAGCGUGACCAGAAAUUCUAUUUUUUGCCCAACUUCAAAAAUUUUGUUCCAUUUCCAAAACUUAUGUUCUAGGUCUAAAAGGGGAAAGUUUCCAAGGCAUCUUGUGAGGUUCACCAUUGGGGACUACCCUCGCUCUAAGGCAUUUGGCUACAGAAGGCGCAAGUGGAGUAGUUGGUGGUUCUUGUUCGGCAUUUGAGGUUAUAGAUGUGUUUCAGGUUAGUGCUCGAGGUUUCAGUAGCUGGCGUUAACGGAUGUCAUCCUAAAGCUUCCUGUAUAUUUUCAUUCUAAAAACAGAAGUUAUAUUAUCUUAUUGUGGUCAUUUCUUGUGUUGUAGAAACACUUGUACAAGUCUAGACCCGAUUUUGGGGAAGUCUAUUUAAUAAUUGAGGUGACUUUUAUACUUC
This is a long non-coding RNA of Lycium barbarum (goji berry), 756 nucleotides long. RefSeq lists it as uncharacterized. The record is from RefSeq and is a predicted model, not a curated record. The transcript is spliced from 3 exons. Lineage: Eukaryota; Viridiplantae; Streptophyta; Magnoliopsida; Solanales; Solanaceae.